RNAcentral lists this ribosomal RNA (275 nucleotides) under uncultured prokaryote. Its description in RNAcentral is "partial 16S ribosomal RNA". It matches the Rfam family "Bacterial small subunit ribosomal RNA", at positions 524 to 798 of the family's 1533-position model. The record is from RNAcentral.
UACGGAGGUUCCAAGCGUUGUUCGGAAUUACUGGGCGUAAAGGGAGCGCAGGCGGGCAAGUCAGUCUGAAGUGAAAUCCCGGGGCUCAACCUCGGACUUGCUUCGGAUACUGCUUGUCUUGAGUUCGUGAUAGGAAGACGGAAUUCAGGGUGUAGCGGUGAAAUGCACAGAUAUCCUGAGGAACACCGGUGGCGAAAGCGGUCUUCUGGCGCGAAACUGACGCUGAGGCUCGAAAGCGUGGGUAGCAAACGGGAUUAGAUACCCGGGUAGUCCCU